UACGUAGGGUGCAAGCGUUAUCCGGAAUUAUUGGGCGUAAAGAGCUCGUAGGCGGUUUGUCGCGUCUGCUGUGAAAACUGGAGGCUCAACCUCCAGCCUGCAGUGGGUACGGGCAGACUAGAGUGCGGUAGGGGAGAUUGGAAUUCCUGGUGUAGCGGUGAAAUGCGCAGAUAUCAGGAGGAACACCUAUUGCGAAGGCAGCUCGCUGGGACGUAACUGACGCUGAGACGCGAAAGCGUGGGGAGCAAACAGG
RNAcentral lists this ribosomal RNA (253 nucleotides) under uncultured bacterium. RNAcentral describes it as "partial 16S ribosomal RNA". It matches the Rfam family "Bacterial small subunit ribosomal RNA", at positions 524 to 776 of the family's 1533-position model. The record is from RNAcentral.